RNAcentral lists this RNase P RNA (383 nucleotides) under marine eukaryotic metagenome. Its description in RNAcentral is "Bacterial RNase P class A". It matches the Rfam family "Bacterial RNase P class A". Rfam says of the family: Ribonuclease P (RNase P) is a ubiquitous endoribonuclease, found in archaea, bacteria and eukarya as well as chloroplasts and mitochondria. Its best characterised activity is the generation of mature 5'-ends of tRNAs by cleaving the 5'-leader elements of precursor-tRNAs. Cellular RNase Ps are ribonucleoproteins. The record is from RNAcentral.
AGUUGGCCGGGCAACCGCGGUCCUGAAGUCUGCUGCACACCGUUAAAGGUUUGCGGCGGAGCAGGGCGGAGGAAAGUCCGGGCUCCACAGGGCAGGGUGCCAGAUAACGUCUGGGCGGCGUGAGCCGACGGAAAGUGCCACAGAAAACAUACCGCCCUGGGUUGUCUAACGGCGAUCCGGGGUAAGGGUGAAAAGGUGCGGUAAGAGCGCACCGCGUUCCCGGUAACGGGAGCGGCAGGGUAAACCCCACCCGGAGCAAGACCAAAUAGGGAUCCUAAGGCGCGGCCCGCGUUGGGUCCGGGUAGGUCGCUUGAGGCGUACGGUGACGUACGCCCCAGAUGAAUGGUUGUCCUAGACAGAACCCGGCUUAUAGGCCGACUCCA